This 493-nucleotide ribosomal RNA is filed under the name uncultured bacterium. Its description in RNAcentral is "partial 16S ribosomal RNA". It matches the Rfam family "Bacterial small subunit ribosomal RNA", at positions 28 to 507 of the family's 1533-position model. The record is from RNAcentral.
GACGAACGCUGGCGGCGUGCCUAACACAUGCAAGUUGAGCGACGAACCAGGGCUUGCCCUGGGGCAAAGCAGCGAACGGGUGAGUAACACGUGGGUAACCCACCCCGAUAACCGGGACAACCCGAGGAAACUCGGGCUAAUACCGGAUGUGCUCACUGGACUUCGGUUCAGUGCGUAAAGGAAGCUUCGGCCUCCGUAUCGGGAGGGGCCCGCGGCCCAUUAGUUUGUUGGUGAGGUAACGGCGCACCAAGACCGCGAUGGGUAGCUGGUCUGAGAGGACGAUCAGCCACACUGGGACUGAGACACGGCCCAGACUCCUACGGGAGGCAGCAGUGGGGAAUCUUGCGCAAUGCGCGAAAGCGUGACGCAGCAACGCCGCGUGGGGGAAGAAGGCCUUCGGGUUGUAAACCCCUUUCAGGAGGGACGAAGGUUCGGCGGUGAAUAGCCGUCCGGACUGACGGUACCUCCACAAGAAGCCCCGGCUAACUACGUG